RNAcentral lists this ribosomal RNA (450 nucleotides) under uncultured bacterium. Its description in RNAcentral is "partial 16S ribosomal RNA". It matches the Rfam family "Bacterial small subunit ribosomal RNA", at positions 354 to 796 of the family's 1533-position model. The record is from RNAcentral.
GUGGGGAAUCUUCCGCAAUGGACGAAAGUCUGACGGAGCAACGCCGCGUGAGUGAUGAAGGUCUUCGGAUUGUAAAGCUCUGUUAAUCGGGACGAAAGAGCCUAGUGUGAAUAAUGCUAGGAAGUGACGGUACCGGAAUAGAAAGCCACGGCUAACUACGUGCCAGCAGCCGCGGUAAUACGUAGGUGGCAAGCGUUGUCCGGAAUUAUUGGGCGUAAAGCGCGCGCAGGCGGAUCUGCCAGUCUGUCUUAAAAGUUCGGGGCUUAACCCCGGGAUGGGAUGGAAACUACAGAUCUAGAGUAUCGGAGAGGAAAGUGGAAUUCCUAGUGUAGCGGUGAAAUGCGUAGAUAUUAGGAAGAACACCAGUGGCGAAGGCGACUUUCUGGACGAAAACUGACGCUGAGGCGCGAAAGCCAGGGGAGCGAACGGGAUUAGAAACCCUAGUAGUCC